GAAAUGCGAUACGUCAUGCGAAUUGCACUACCAGCGAGUCAUCAAAACUUUGAACGCAACUUGCACUUCUCGUUAAGAGGAGUAUGUCUGUUGGAGUGUCUGUUUCUCCCCACUCUCUUUUAAAAAGAGAAUGUCCGUGCUUUUCUUCAAAUAAAAAGCAUGCAGAUGCAAAUACACCAAUCUGCGUAGUUGAUGCCAGAUUGCGACGUUCUUUACAGAAACGCAAUCUUCAUUACCUCACAAAUUCAAUAAUCAGACCUCCAAUCAGUCAAGAAUACCCGCUGAAUUUAA
RNAcentral lists this unclassified non-coding RNA (291 nucleotides) under uncultured fungus. RNAcentral describes it as "sequence contains ITS1". The stretch from base 1 to 101 matches the Rfam family "5.8S ribosomal RNA", at positions 50 to 154 of the family's 154-position model. Lineage: Eukaryota; Fungi. The record is from RNAcentral.